Molecule: long non-coding RNA, 353 nt
Filed under: Ananas comosus (pineapple)
Lineage: Eukaryota; Viridiplantae; Streptophyta; Magnoliopsida; Poales; Bromeliaceae
Description: long non-coding RNA (ACOM_LNC034753)
Source: RNAcentral
AAAAAAAAUUUAAUUUCAAUUUUAAAUUGUAAAUGAAAUAUGAAAAAAAAAAUUAUAAUAAGAUAAAUGAAGGGACUUUUUUCAAAAAUAACCUUGUGAAAUUUUGUAUUUGCCAAACUAAUCCUGUGAAAUUUUUAUUUGUGAAACUAACCCUGCUCUCGCCACGUGGGCGCCACGUCAGGAAUUUUUCAAAAAGACGGUGAAUCGUUCACCGUCUUUGAUAUUUGUUGUGAAGGCGGUGAAUGGUUCACCGUCUUCAUAAGGCAGUGGACCAUUCACCGUCUUUAGUACAAAUCCCUAUUCUGCACAAAUUUUUUCAAGUCCAUAAUAUGGUGUCCUUGAUAAGACGAUGA